CUUGGUGACAAUAGCGUUUUGGACCCACCUGACCCCAUGCCGAACUCAGUAGUGAAACGAAACAGCGCCGAUGAUAGUGUAGCAG
This 85-nucleotide ribosomal RNA is filed under the name Pseudoalteromonas shioyasakiensis. Lineage: Bacteria; Pseudomonadati; Pseudomonadota; Gammaproteobacteria; Alteromonadales; Pseudoalteromonadaceae. The record is from RNAcentral.